Molecule: ribosomal RNA, 582 nt
Filed under: Pseudomonas sp. CSeC30_45
Lineage: Bacteria; Pseudomonadati; Pseudomonadota; Gammaproteobacteria; Pseudomonadales; Pseudomonadaceae
Description: bacterial SSU rRNA
Rfam family: Bacterial small subunit ribosomal RNA
Source: RNAcentral
GUCGAGCGGCAGCACAAGUGAGUUUACUCAUGAGGUGGCGAGCGGCGGACGGGUGAGUAAUGCCUAGGGAUCUGCCCAGUCGAGGGGGAUAACAGUUGGAAACGACUGCUAAUACCGCAUACGCCCUACGGGGGAAAGGAGGGGACCUUCGGGCCUUCCACGAUUGGAUGAACCUAGGUGGGAUUAGCUAGUUGGUGAGGUAAUGGCUCACCAAGGCGACGAUCCCUAGCUGUUCUGAGAGGAUGAUCAGCCACACUGGGACUGAGACACGGCCCAGACUCCUACGGGAGGCAGCAGUGGGGAAUAUUGCACAAUGGGGGAAACCCUGAUGCAGCCAUGCCGCGUGUGUGAAGAAGGCCUUCGGGUUGUAAAGCACUUUCAGUAGGGAGGAAAGGUUGUAAGUUAAUACCUUGCAGCUGUGACGUUACCUACAGAAGAAGGACCGGCUAACUCCGUGCCAGCAGCCGCGGUAAUACGGAGGGUCCAAGCGUUAAUCGGAAUUACUGGGCGUAAAGCGUGCGCAGGCGGUUGAUUAAGCGAGAUGUGAAAGCCCCGGGCUCAACCUGGGAAUUGCAUUUCGAA